This 2122-nucleotide ribosomal RNA is filed under the name Klebsiella pneumoniae. RNAcentral's name for it is "bacterial LSU rRNA". It matches the Rfam family "Bacterial large subunit ribosomal RNA", at positions 1 to 2141 of the family's 2925-position model. Lineage: Bacteria; Pseudomonadati; Pseudomonadota; Gammaproteobacteria; Enterobacterales; Enterobacteriaceae. The record is from RNAcentral.
GGGUUGUGAGGUUAAGCGACUAAGCGUACACGGUGGAUGCCCUGGCAGUCAGAGGCGAUGAAGGACGUGCUAAUCUGCGAAAAGCGUCGGUAAGGUGAUAUGAACCGUUACAGCCGGCGAUGUCCGAAUGGGGAAACCCAGUGCAAUUCGUUGCACUAUCGUUAACUGAAUACAUAGGUUAACGAGGCGAACCGGGGGAACUGAAACAUCUAAGUACCCCGAGGAAAAGAAAUCAACCGAGAUUCCCCCAGUAGCGGCGAGCGAACGGGGAGCAGCCCAGAGUCUGAAUCAGCUUGUGUGUUAGUGGAACGGUCUGGAAAGUCCGACGGUACAGGGUGAUAGUCCCGUACACCAAAAUGCACAGGCUGUGAACUCGAAGAGUAGGGCGGGACACGUGGUAUCCUGUCUGAAUAUGGGGGGACCAUCCUCCAAGGCUAAAUACUCCUGACUGACCGAUAGUGAACCAGUACCGUGAGGGAAAGGCGAAAAGAACCCCGGCGAGGGGAGUGAAAAAGAACCUGAAACCGUGUACGUACAAGCAGUGGGAGCACCUUCGGGUGUGACUGCGUACCUUUUGUAUAAUGGGUCAGCGACUUAUAUUCUGUAGCAAGGUUAACCGUAUAGGGGAGCCGCAGGGAAACCGAGUCUUAACUGGGCGUUAAGUUGCAGGGUAUAGACCCGAAACCCGGUGAUCUAGCCAUGGGCAGGUUGAAGGUUGGGUAACACUAACUGGAGGACCGAACCGACUAAUGUUGAAAAAUUAGCGGAUGACUUGUGGCUGGGGGUGAAAGGCCAAUCAAACCGGGAGAUAGCUGGUUCUCCCCGAAAGCUAUUUAGGUAGCGCCUCGUGAACUCAUCUUCGGGGGUAGAGCACUGUUUCGGCUAGGGGGUCAUCCCGACUUACCAACCCGAUGCAAACUACGAAUACCGAAGAAUGUUAUCACGGGAGACACACGGCGGGUGCUAACGUCCGUCGUGAAGAGGGAAACAACCCAGACCGCCAGCUAAGGUCCCAAAGUCAUGGUUAAGUGGGAAACGAUGUGGGAAGGCACAGACAGCCAGGAUGUUGGCUUAGAAGCAGCCAUCAUUUAAAGAAAGCGUAAUAGCUCACUGGUCGAGUCGGCCUGCGCGGAAGAUGUAACGGGGCUAAACCAUGCACCGAAGCUGCGGCAGCGACACUAUGUGUUGUUGGGUAGGGGAGCGUUCUGUAAGCCUGCGAAGGUGUGCUGUGAGGCAUGCUGGAGGUAUCAGAAGUGCGAAUGCUGACAUAAGUAACGAUAAAGCGGGUGAAAAGCCCGCUCGCCGGAAGACCAAGGGUUCCUGUCCAACGUUAAUCGGGGCAGGGUGAGUCGACCCCUAAGGCGAGGCCGAAAGGCGUAGUCGAUGGGAAACAGGUUAAUAUUCCUGUACUUGGUGUUACUGCGAAGGGGGGACGGAGAAGGCUAUGUUAGCCGGGCGACGGUUGUCCCGGUUUAAGCAUGUAGGCUGGUUAUCCAGGCAAAUCCGGAUAAUCAAGGCUGAGGUGUGAUGACGAGGCACUACGGUGCUGAAGUAACAAAUGCCCUGCUUCCAGGAAAAGCCUCUAAGCAUCAGGUAACAUCAAAUCGUACCCCAAACCGACACAGGUGGUCAGGUAGAGAAUACCAAGGCGCUUGAGAGAACUCGGGUGAAGGAACUAGGCAAAAUGGUGCCGUAACUUCGGGAGAAGGCACGCUGGUGUGUAGGUGAAGUCCCUGCGGAUGGAGCUGAGACCAGUCGAAGAUACCAGCUGGCUGCAACUGUUUAUUAAAAACACAGCACUGUGCAAACACGAAAGUGGACGUAUACGGUGUGACGCCUGCCCGGUGCCGGAAGGUUAAUUGAUGGGGUUAUCCGUAAGGAGAAGCUCUUGAUCGAAGCCCCGGUAAACGGCGGCCGUAACUAUAACGGUCCUAAGGUAGCGAAAUUCCUUGUCGGGUAAGUUCCGACCUGCACGAAUGGCGUAAUGAUGGCCAGGCUGUCUCCACCCGAGACUCAGUGAAAUUGAACUCGCUGUGAAGAUGCAGUGUACCCGCGGCAAGACGGAAAGACCCCGUGAACCUUUACUAUAGCUUGACACUGAACAUUGAGCCUUGAUGUGUAG